Molecule: ribosomal RNA, 527 nt
Filed under: uncultured bacterium
Lineage: Bacteria
Description: bacterial SSU rRNA
Rfam family: Bacterial small subunit ribosomal RNA
Source: RNAcentral
AAUAGAUACCCGGGUAGUCCACGCCGUAAACGGUGGGCACUAGAUGUGGGGCUCUUUCCAUGAGUUCCGCGUCGCAGCUAACGCAUUAAGUGCCCCGCCUGGGGAGUACGGCCGCAAGGCUAAAACUCAAAGGAAUUGACGGGGGCCCGCACAAGCGGCGGAGCAUGCGGAUUAAUUCGAUGCAACGCGAAGAACCUUACCAAGGCUUGACAUAUACCGUUUAUCCCUAGAGAUAGGGAGUCCUUGGGGCGGUAUACAGGUGGUGCAUGGUUGUCGUCAGCUCGUGUCGUGAGAUGUUGGGUUAAGUCCCGCAACGAGCGCAACCCUCGUUCUAUGUUGCCAGCGCGUAAUGGCGGGGACUCAUAGGAGACUGCCGGGGUCAACUCGGAGGAAGGUGGGGAUGACGUCAAAUCAUCAUGCCCCUUAUGUCUUGGGCUUCACGCAUGCUACGAAUGGCCGGUACAAAGGGCUGCAAUACCGCAAGGUGGAGCGAAUCCCAAAAAGCCGGUCUCAGUUCGGAUUGAGGU